Molecule: transfer RNA, 85 nt
Filed under: Felis catus (domestic cat)
Lineage: Eukaryota; Metazoa; Chordata; Mammalia; Carnivora; Felidae
Rfam family: tRNA
About the family: Transfer RNA (tRNA) molecules are approximately 80 nucleotides in length. Their secondary structure includes four short double-helical elements and three loops (D, anti-codon, and T loops). Further hydrogen bonds mediate the characteristic L-shaped molecular structure. tRNAs have two regions of fundamental functional importance: the anti-codon, which is responsible for specific mRNA codon recognition, and the 3' end, to which the tRNAs corresponding amino acid is attached (by aminoacyl-tRNA synthetases). tRNAs cope with the degeneracy of the genetic code in two manners: having more than one tRNA (with a specific anti-codon) for a particular amino acid; and 'wobble' base-pairing, i.e. permitting non-standard base-pairing at the 3rd anti-codon position.
Source: Rfam by way of RNAcentral
GCCUGGGUGGCUCAGUCGGUUGAGCAUCCGACUUCAGCUCGGGUCGUGAUCUCACAAUCUGUGAGUUCGAGCCCCGCAUCGGGCU